This 95-nucleotide transfer RNA is filed under the name archaeon GW2011_AR20. RNAcentral describes it as "tRNA-Phe". It matches the Rfam family "tRNA". Rfam says of the family: Transfer RNA (tRNA) molecules are approximately 80 nucleotides in length. The record is from RNAcentral.
GGGUCCGUAGCUCAGCCUGGAAAAGAAAGGUCUUUGGGUAAGAGAGCAUACGGCUGAAGACCGUAGUAUCGGGAGUUCAAAUCUCCCCGGGCCCA